UCUUUUCAUGGAUGAUAUACAGAAAGCAGAUCAGGGGCACUAUACUUGCCUUAUAUCCUAUAGUUAUGUGGGGAAGCAUUAUAACAUUACUCGGACAAUUCAUCUAAGUAUUAUGGGGUCAGGAAAGAAAUAUGUACCAACAAUUCUGGCACCUGAAAACAAGACAAUGGAGGUAGAACUUGGGUCCCAGUUGCUUUUGGACUGCAAUUUCACAGCUGGAAAGGGCCAAGUUCAGUAUUGGUCUUGGAACGGAACAUAUGCUGAUAUUGAUCCUAAUGUUAACUGCUUUAAGCCUCAGUAAGUACAUGAUAAUUAUAUAAAGACAGAGGUAAAGAAAUUUCUCAUUUUGUGUGAACCCUGUUACUGUUUUG
Long non-coding RNA from Gracilinanus agilis (Agile Gracile Mouse Opossum), 371 nucleotides. RefSeq lists it as uncharacterized. NCBI's taxonomy places the organism in Eukaryota, Metazoa, Chordata, Mammalia, Didelphimorphia, Didelphidae. The transcript is spliced from 3 exons. The record is from RefSeq and is a predicted model, not a curated record.